RNAcentral lists this ribosomal RNA (450 nucleotides) under uncultured bacterium. RNAcentral describes it as "partial 16S ribosomal RNA". It matches the Rfam family "Bacterial small subunit ribosomal RNA", at positions 354 to 796 of the family's 1533-position model. The record is from RNAcentral.
GUGGGGAAUAUUGGACAAUGGGCGAAAGCCUGAUCCAGCCAUGCCGCGUGUGUGAAGAAGGUCUUCGGAUUGUAAAGCACUUUAAGUUGGGAGGAAGGGCAGUAAGUUAAUACCUUGCUGUUUUGACGUUACCGACAGAAUAAGCACCGGCUAACUUCGUGCCAGCAGCCGCGGUAAUACGAAGGGUGCAAGCGUUAAUCGGAAUUACUGGGCGUAAAGCGCGCGUAGGUGGUUCAGCAAGUUGGAGGUGAAAUCCCCGGGCUCAACCUGGGAACUGCCUCCAAAACUACUGGGCUAGAGUACGGUAGAGGGUAGUGGAAUUUCCUGUGUAGCGGUGAAAUGCGUAGAUAUAGGAAGGAACACCAGUGGCGAAGGCGACUACCUGGACUGAUACUGACACUGAGGUGCGAAAGCGUGGGGAGCAAACAGGAUUAGAAACCCUGGUAGUCC